CCUUCUGUUAAAAUAAAUAAUCGAGUAGUACUUUAAUCAAAAAGACUUGGGUUGCAUCUAAUAAUUA
RNAcentral lists this transfer RNA (67 nucleotides) under Mytilisepta virgata. RNAcentral's name for it is "tRNA-Ala". Lineage: Eukaryota; Metazoa; Mollusca; Bivalvia; Mytilida; Mytilidae. The record is from RNAcentral.